GCCCAGGUAGCUCAGUUGGUAGAGCAGGGGACUGAAAAUCCCCGUGUCGGUGGUUCGAUUCCGCCCCUGGGCAC
This 74-nucleotide transfer RNA is filed under the name Cystobacter fuscus. RNAcentral describes it as "tRNA-Phe". It matches the Rfam family "tRNA". Rfam says of the family: Transfer RNA (tRNA) molecules are approximately 80 nucleotides in length. The record is from RNAcentral. Lineage: Bacteria; Pseudomonadati; Myxococcota; Myxococcia; Myxococcales; Archangiaceae.